Zea mays is the source of this 570-nucleotide RNA transcript. RefSeq lists it as uncharacterized. The transcript is spliced from 4 exons. The record is from RefSeq and is a predicted model, not a curated record. Lineage: Eukaryota; Viridiplantae; Streptophyta; Magnoliopsida; Poales; Poaceae.
ACCUGACAGAGCAUCUGUUUUUGGAAGUUCUGCAGAAGAUAGUUUCUUAAACGUGUGGGAUCAUGAGAACGUGGGGAAGAAGAAAAAUUCUAAUGUCCCAGCCGGGCUUUUCUUUCAGCAUGCUGGUCAUAGGGAUAAGAUUGUAGACUUCCACUGAAAUUCGUCAGAUCCUUGGACAAUUGUCAGUGUCUCUGAUGAUGGCGAGAGCACUGGUGGAGGUGGAACACUGCAGAUUUGGCGCAUGAGUGAUUUGAUCUACCGCCCAGAGGAUGAAGUUCUUGCAGAGCUGGAGAAUUUCAAGGCUCACUUGGCCAGUUGUGCACCGAAGAAUUGAGUCAUGUGGGUUACCUGCGGAAUACAAUCCUGUGGAAACUGAGUAGGUGAUGUAGUUUCCUGGCCAUAAGUAUGAGCUCCAGUUGACAUUGAAUCUGUCCUCUGAUGCUCCUAGAGUUGUACCCUUGAGGGGCUUGUGCUUUUGUGUUCUUGGUCGCAGGUUUAUUGAUAUGGCAGAAUCCUUGUGCCAGAAACGUGCUUUGGAGGCUUUCCGUUUGGACCCGACGAAGUGGGGAG